CCCUGAACCUCCUGAGUAACAGCUGGGGCUACAGGCAGGUGUUUUUUAAAAAUGGAAUUCUUAAUACAUUAAAAAAAUGAAAUCCCUUUAAAAAAGCACUAGAGGAAAUUCUGUGUUUAAAGAUUUACUUAUUUGGCAAUGCAAACAGCUGUUUAUUUCCUAACAUAACUUUUGCAAAUCUGAAUUUUUAUAAAAAUAUUUUUAAAUUAAAAAUUUUAAAUUAUACUAAGUUUUACUUUUUAAGUAAUUUUGAGUAGGUAAUAUUUUUAUAAAGACAUUUGUAUGGUUCGAAGAUAAGAAAAUAUAUGAAAGGUGUUCAAGAAGAGUUUUGGCCCCAAUUCUGUCUACUGUAUACCCAGUCCUCCCCACUUCUACAUACAUAUUUCAGAUAGGUAUUUCUCGAAAGAAAGAACUUAUGCUGUGAAACUUAUAUGUCAACUUAGGUCUCAUUUUAAGUGAUUCUGUAAAAUGGCUGGGAGAUACUGGUGAAAUUCUAGAAUGGAAAUAACUUUGUAAGAUUUUGAGCUGAGUACUUGUAAAUAGUAGAAAUGGACUUACUAAUAAAUAAAGGAAUUUUAUUUUAUAACUUU
Molecule: non-coding RNA, 590 nt
Organism: Chlorocebus sabaeus (green monkey)
Lineage: Eukaryota; Metazoa; Chordata; Mammalia; Primates; Cercopithecidae
Source: RefSeq, a predicted model, not a curated record